This is a long non-coding RNA of Toxorhynchites rutilus septentrionalis, 3462 nucleotides long. RefSeq lists it as uncharacterized. Lineage: Eukaryota; Metazoa; Arthropoda; Insecta; Diptera; Culicidae. The transcript is spliced from 3 exons. The record is from RefSeq and is a predicted model, not a curated record.
AUGAAAUUGAAAAUAUAUAGUUUUGCUUUUGAAACUACGAAAAUCUAAUUCAAUUUUUAACCCAAAAUUGAGUAUACAUUAACAAAAUAAACCCUGCGUUAAAUGCAUUUUGCUCAUAAAUGACAAUAUCGUUUUAUUUUCCUUACAAGCGUUCUCGUUGUAUUUAUACAUUCCGUCCAGCGCAAAUCAGUUCAGCUGCACUCGUUCGUUCGCAAACAAUUUGCCCGCAAACACUUCGUUCUCGAACAGUUCGUUCCCAAAUAGUUCACUCUCAAUCAUUUCUUUUCCAUACAGUUCACUCGCAAACAGUUCGUUCACAAACAGUUCACUCUCCAUCAGUUCACUCGCAAACCGUUCUUUCGGAAUCAGUUCGUUCACAAACCGUUCGCUCGCAAUCAGUUCGUGGGGAGAACUACCGUUCUUUGAAAAAGAACGACCGUUCGUUCACUCUUUUCGGAGAACUAGUUCGUCCGUACCGUUCGUGAACGGUUUGCCCAUCUCUAGUGCGGACGGCCCUAGAGUCUUCAGUUGUCUAAUACUUAUGACAGACAUAUUGCUGUACUUGCGUUGUACUUCGAAAAUUGUAUGUCUGUCACCAUGUACAGCGCUAGAACCAUGCAAGCAACUCGGUACAAUCGCUGUACCUGUACCGACUUAUUUUACCGCUGUACAUGGCUACAGUUGUACUGUGCGCAGCGCCAUAGACGAUUAGUGGUGGGUAGCAUGAACAAAACGAAUCAAAACAUUUGGUAUACAAUCUUUUCAUUGACUUUCUCUUGAGUUAAUAACUCAGAUUGGAAACAUAUUUGUUGUGUUCGAUAGUUUAGACGCUAAAUAAAAACCUUUUUCAUUGAAAUAUUGGUGAAAAUACAAUGCAAUAAAUUCAAACUUCUGAUUGUCAGUCUGACAUGCGGUACAAUGUACAACCAAAGUAUGUGUGUCAUGCUAUCGUGGUACCUGUACAACGCUGUACACGUACAGCGCUAGUACAGUUGUAUGUCUGUCCAUGGUAUAAGCUCUUUUUUGCACAUGCUUUGGAAAAGGAACAGUAGCAGAUGAGGAUGAUGGGGAACAUGUUACCCAAGCGGUGCCGUGCCUCGGAUAUAACAGGAGCAUAAUCUCGUUGCGAAACGCAACAUAGGUCCAACAUGCGGCCAUUCUCAUUUUCGAUGUUGUUAAUUUGCCGAAGUGUGGCUGCGCUAUACGCGUCGAGCAGACUGGAGAUGAUGGUGGGAUGUGUCGUUAGCGAGGGAUCAGGAUACAAAAAGCCAUCGCGAAGCGGACGCUAUUUCAUUCCCGGUAGAUUGAAAUCGCCGAGGAUAACGAUGUCAUCACAGAGGGAAGUGAGAAUGAUCAUCGAUCAAGGCAGUGUCUCGAAUACGGUCCGGAGACUUGUUCCACGCCAGUUCAACGGGCAUUGUCGAGCCUCAACGCCCUCCAACUUCGGCGAACUGCGAUAGCAACGUCUCCUCCUGUCGUUUUUCGGCUAUUUAAUAGACUACGGUCAGCUCAGAAGACAUAAUAGUCUGGCCCGAACAGUUGAUGCGAGUGGGUGCGAUCGUCCAACCAAGUCUCAGUGAGGACGAUGACAUCGUUUUCUUCACUCGAACACGCGAGACGGUAGUCGGCGAUGCAUGAGUUAGUGCCUCCGGCAUUCUGGUAAUAGCGUAUAGGCUAUGUUCUCACUGCAGCGGGGCGUCAACGUGGCUUGAGCGGGGCGUGUUCACUUCUCGCCACGAUAUUUUAAUUCACUCACAUUGCACCGUGCCAGUGGCGUGUUUUAUAAAAAUUGUCAAUGUGUGGUUUUGAAUGAAAGAAUAAAAUUGGUUUUUUUUAAUAUUCCAGCAUCGUUGAACGUAUCCGGGUCAAAACUCGGACGAUGGAAAACGUAAAAACUAAAAAAAAAAACGCAAAAAAACUUAAAUUAUGUCACUUUUACAAACAAACAUAUGCAAGAGAGAAGCGGAGAAGUACAAAUAUCGCCGGCAUGAAGUGUUUUCGUUUGCACGCCAGCAACACGCCCAAACCACGCUCACGACAUGUCAGCCUGGUGUGAACACAUCGGUAAGAACAUACACAAUUAUUCGUAAGCGUCACACGCCCCGUCAAAGUCAAGCUGACGUCCCGCUGCAGUGAGAACAAGGCCAUAUUCCACUAAGUUCGGAUGACAUGUAGGUGCUGGUAUAGAUCUGGAGACCGAAGAAAUAUCAGGCGUUGAAGGAUUUUAGAUAUCUUUGUACUCGCCUGAAAAAGGGAUUUGAAAGACCCCCUCUCGACUUCUGACCACAGGCUCGGGACGACUGUGCUGACUGCUGAUUGGAGUCGAUCUGGGUAGAGGCAUCCAUACUACUUUCUAAUGUACGUCGCGGUAUCCUUAGUUAAUCAUGACGGUUUCCUCUAUGUGUUGUAUCGGUGUCAGUUGAGGCUUCCAAAAAUUUGCACCCGUCCGACUGUCUUGGAAUUUAUGGUAGUAGAUGCCUUUCGGUCAGAUCGCAGAAGAGAGGGCUUUGGCUAUCACGUCUACAUUCAAUCCGAUUUUAAAGGAAAUAAACGAAAGAGUGCUCAUGUUACGUCCUUUGCCCACAGCGCUAGACUUUCCGCUAGUUAGCGCUAGACUUUCCGAAGAGUUGACGACGGCGAGUAGUAGCGAUCCCCGUAGCAAAAUACUAGGUCAUCGAGCUGGAGUUAAUUAAUGCUGAGAAUUUCGACUUGAUCUCCUUCUUCAACUCGAAAAGUAUUUCUUGUUUCAUGCUUUCAAUUAUCUCGUAUUAUCUCGAAUCCAUUUUCUCUUGACCGGACUCGUAAGCCGCACGUACUGCAAACCUCACGCGCAUAUCAUUCAUGAGAGAUGUGCACGAUUUGCACAUCCAGAAAAUCUGAGGGUUUUUCAAAACUUCGUCGAACGCGGAUGUGGCGAUACCGCAGCAGGAAGGAUGGAAUUCCGCUCUGAAAAAUCCGCGACAGAUAACAAGCAAUCCGUAAUUUCAUUCGCGCAUGAAUGGCAAGUCGAAUUCAUGACGACUAGAUGUAUUGCAAGAUUGAACUCGCCUACAGGUAUGCCACGGGAUGCACAAAGUAUUUGUUCUUUUUUUGUCCUGAAGAUUCCGCUUCAGAAGAAAAACUUGGCGUGGAGGGAAAUUAGGAAGAUGACAAAAAAACAAAACUAGCACUACACUGAUUUUCAACAGAGAAUGGAUCGCUACUGCGGGGAUCUUGGAUUACUUCUCACAUAAAAUCUAACGAUAAAGCGGACAAGCAGAGAGACAAGUCAAUUGUACUUUCUCUAGUAGGGGGUUUGAGUACUCUUGUAGGCCACACCAUGUGAAUUGAAAUUACCGAAGAUAUUUUUCUUUUGAACCCCCUCACUUCAUCAUCUUGUAAAUAUUCUAAUUUUGAAUAUUUUUUUUUAGUUUAGCUCUUGUUGUAUUUUUAAAAUCUAAAUAAACAAUAUAUGGAAUAAUG